AGUGCAGUGGCGACUCUGUAACUGUGCAAAAUACCUCGCGUUAUCACUGUAACUCAAACAUUAUUUUUUAAUUUUUUAUUAUUAUUUUUUUAAUUGUUUUACUUUUGUCACGUGAGUAGCAAUUCUUAUUUGUUGUCUUCUCAAACACAGGUUGAGUUUCCUUAACUGCGCCGCUAGCGGCUGGUGAAAGUUAGCAACUUCAUGUGGUCAGAAAGUCAACAAACAAACAAAAAGUAUUAUCAGACAGUUGAAUGCCACUGCGAGACAGUGAACACGUGGAUGGAAAAUAAACCCUUCAGUGAACUGUGAGGCCGGUCAUAGUCUGGUUUUCACAGCAAAACAAUUGUAGUUUACCGUGUUGCUGUUGCUAAGGACUUCAGCUACGUCUUAGCUAGCUGGCAGUGAUGGAGAGACAACCACAGCAACAAGUGCAGUUCACCACCACGUCACCCACUGAAAGGAGCUGCGAAUAAUGCUGCUGUGCUAACUAGGGGUCAUCAGCAGGGCACAGCUUGGGAGAUGGACUGUGCUGUGUGUUGGAGUCCAGUGGCGAGAGUGGGGACAGAGUAAUUGGUAAUUCUGGGUUGUGCUUAAAGGGCAGCCAAGGUCUUGCUGACAUACAGAGCCACAGAACAAACAUGGAUAUACCUGAAGACAAUGACCUUUGAACUCCCAGCGGGAGAGGUGGAAAAAACAGGAAGUGGUGAAAGUGACUCCAGAGGACUUCCUUUCUGCAGGCCAAGAAUGAAUCAGGUGGAAUGAUUGGUCAGCUGUUGGGCCUUUGUUCCAGAGGCAUUGUGGGGGAUUAUCCAGUGUGGCCGUUCAUUCGCUCGGCUGUCCGGUAAAUGGGGCCAAUCGCGUGGCUCACAAUCCUUCAUACAUAUUUCAUAGGGCUUUUUAACAACUUCUCAGCAGAGCCCAAAAUUAAAGGACAGAUGUACAAAGAGAGGGAGGAAGGGAGGAAGGGAGGGAGAGAAGCAGGGAAAAAAAAUAGUAUAGAGAGAAAUGGAUGAACGAUUGUGCGUGUGUAUGUGUGUGGAACGACGCCUGGAAAAGGGAAACAAGGUGACAGAAAGUCCAUGCUUUGCCGGCUAAAUUUAAAAACCGCAACUUUGGUCUUUGGUCCACACUACACUGGAGUUUUUCUCACCUGAAAUCAGCUUUUGGCAAACAGAGCUGUUAGGGAAAUGAUGACUAAUAAGCCCGCUCAGUCAUGGUCAGCUGCUGCGUGGCAGUAAAUUUAAGAAGACUUUCUGUCAUUUCCAACUUUAUCUGUGAUCAUUUAUUUUUAAUGUCUGUAUAGAUAAUCAAAUGGCACAGCUGUUGUCAUUAAUCUGCAUUUGUGUUUAUUUUGGAUGUCACCAUCAUGACAGAGAUUUCAUCUGUGUGCUCACACAGGAAACACUGUUCAAACAUUGCAUUUUCAGAGUCUGAAUGAAAGAUGACUAGCCCGACCGAGGUUGACCUCUUCACACACUUUCUGCUGAUAAAAUCAUAUGGCCUUCUGCAGAAUAAAAGAUUUUGUUCAGAGAGGAGGUGCGAGUGUGUGUGUGUGUGUUGCGGGGGGUCCAAAAAAAAAAAAAAAAAGCUUUCAUGAAAAGGGAUAUUAUUGUUGCUCUACCCCUGUGUAACACAAUAUGAAAGGAGGAAGACAGAGAGGGGGGAAAGGGAGAAAAGAAUCAGCAAAAGGAGAAAAAGCUGGCCUCUAAUACGCACACGUUUCCCUAACCUUUGCAUUGUGCUGUGUGUUGGGUAAAUGCCAAUCAGAGAGGAAGGAAGGAAUAAAGAAAUAGAGGGACUUCUCUGACAAGAGGCAGCGAUGAGGCAGUUAAUCACUCUUAUUCACCGACUCCCCCCUCCUCUCUCCCCUCCACAACUCUCUCCCCCAUUCUCUCCAUCUCCCUCUCUCGUGACAGGUUGCUUUGAGACAGAAGGAUAAGCUCUUUUUCAGAGAGAGGGAAUCGGAUUUCCUGCUUUUUGAUGAGAUAAUAAAAUAUGACGGAGGACAAUAGGAGCCUGUGGACGGCUUGCUGGGAGCUAUUCACUCCAGCAGCGGCCCCUGUCUUAAGACUGCUUAGACAAACGUUUAAAAAGGUAGCCAGAGGCCCAAGCCCUCAAAUAAAGGCUACUGUUACACACACUGUGCGCAUGUGCAUGUGUGUGUGUGUGUGUGUUUUUGGAAAAAGCCUGAGAAAUCUCUUCUCUCUCGGUGACUCAGGGUUGGCUGUUUGUUUGGCCAAUGUGUUUCUCCCCCUUGCUUUUGGGAACUGUCAGGAGAUGUAUUGCACCUUCUAUUUGCACAGCGUUGGCCAAACAAGACAAGACCCUGGAAGAUAAGGCUGUGUGUGUGUGUGUGUGUAAGUGAGCGUGUGUGCUAGUGAGCCUGUAGCCUUGAAGGAUGAAAUGCAGGGACACAACAGGAGCCCCCGUUGCCAGCCAGGUUAAUUCCUAACCCCAGAUCAGCCUGGGAAUACCAACACUUCCCAUGCUUUUCCGUCAUUGUAUUUGUUUGUGUGAGUGUGUGUGUGUGUGUGGGACAGGAAACGUAUGUGCCGACUGCCAUAUAUGGGCUAAUCUGGCAUUGAUGUGUAGUGAUACAGUCACCGUAUCUUAAGAAUAUUCUGCUGACAGGCAAACACACAUUUAAAAACAAGAGUUGAAACUGAAGUUGAGCAGGCCUGUGACAUUUCAGUGAGUCAAGCCAGAGUUUUCCAAACCUCGGACACACACACUCGCACACAGACCCCUGUGCCUCACGUAUCUGCUGUGAUCAAUAAUCUACAAAGGCCUUGAUAAGCCCUUGGCCUACACUGUCACUUUGGACAAACACAACCCAUGUCCCCUUUCUUCCUACCCCUCAGUACGCUUGUCCCCAACCCCCUCCCCCACUGAUAAGACUGUGCCAUGGCUGAAGAGUCCAAACAACUAGCAAGGAAAGGGUUAGAAGAAGUCAUUUCUUUCCCAAGUGCUUCAUUUUCUUAAUUUUCCUAAACCUUCCACCCUCCAUGCAUUCCCCCUCAAAUCUUCAAAUCUCUUACUCAUGAAGAGUUCAUUUUUCUGCUUACACGACUACUGGGACGGGAAACAGGCCUCAAAGCUGAGCAAACACAAGCCACCCUCUCUCCACUGAUAGCCUUGAGAACAUGGAGCCUUGAGGGGCUGUUGUGUAUACGUGUGUGUGUGUGUGUGUGUGUGUCUUGUCUGGUUUGUUGUACGUAUGUUAGCAUAAGCACUAGCGUCACAUGGGCUCUUCUCAAGGUGCACCUCCGCUAGGGAGUCAAGGACAGGACAGGGUCAAAGACACUGAUGAAGUCUCUCUCCUAUCACAUCUUCCUCGCUCCUCCCUCCAUCUUUACUUGCCUCAACCCCCCACCUCAACACACACACACACACAGGCUGAGAAAUCAUAUCAUAUCAGGGCCUCUGUGACACGUCUUUCCUGCCCUCUUACCGUUCCAUCUCUUUCCCUCGCUUUAUAGAAAUUGGGGGCUGUGGCGAGGGUGCUAGCUUUAGAUCAAGCCAAACAACAGACACAGACCACAGACAGAAAAAUCAUCUGUACUCAGAAGAAUUGAAAACAGCAGGGGAGGCCAGAAAUCACUGUUCAAGCCCUUGUUUAGAGACUUAAAAAUUCAUCGUCUGAGCUUUUAUGGCGGACAUAGGCUGAAAGAAAGCAAUCUAAACGAAGGGGGGUCAUGGAGCGCUGUAACGGGGCCUCCGGAGGUCAGGAAGUCAACCCGGCUCAGUGAGACCGAGAGAGCAGGAGGCAGAAGGGAAAGAAAGGAGCAAGGGAGUCUGGAAGAUAGGAACAGGACAUCUGGAGAGGAGGAGAAACAGAGGGAGGGAGGGAGAGGAAGAAUAGAAGGGUAGGAGGAAGGAGGGUGCGGGUGUGGGCGGGCAAACAAUAAAGGAUGGAGGGCAAGGAGCUGCAGCGAAGGAGGGAGGAUGGAAGAUGGAUGGACGGAUGGAAGGAGAAAGCAAGGAAGGGCAAGUGAGAGAACAAGAUGGCAGGAGAAGAAAGAAAAAUAAUAAACUGCAGAUUGGAUUGAAGGAGGGAGAGCUUGGCAUCGGCAGGGGAAAUGAGUAGUGUG
Molecule: long non-coding RNA, 4091 nt
Organism: Larimichthys crocea (large yellow croaker)
Lineage: Eukaryota; Metazoa; Chordata; Actinopteri; Sciaenidae
Exons: 4
Source: RefSeq, a predicted model, not a curated record